RNAcentral lists this transfer RNA (94 nucleotides) under Gonium pectorale. It matches the Rfam family "tRNA". Rfam says of the family: Transfer RNA (tRNA) molecules are approximately 80 nucleotides in length. Their secondary structure includes four short double-helical elements and three loops (D, anti-codon, and T loops). Lineage: Eukaryota; Viridiplantae; Chlorophyta; Chlorophyceae; Chlamydomonadales; Volvocaceae. The record is from Rfam by way of RNAcentral.
GCGGGCGUGGCGCAGUGGUUAGCGCGUAGGUCUCAUAUUCCACAAUAUGACUUGGGAUAUCCUAAGGUCGAGGGUUCGAAACCCUCCGCCCGCA